Molecule: ribosomal RNA, 253 nt
Filed under: uncultured bacterium
Lineage: Bacteria
Description: partial 16S ribosomal RNA
Rfam family: Bacterial small subunit ribosomal RNA
Source: RNAcentral
UACAGGGGGGGCAAGCGUUGUUCGGAAUUACUGGGCGUAAAGGGCGCGUAGGCGGCCUUCUAAGUCGAACGUGAAAUCCCCGGGCUCAACCCGGGAACUGCGUCCGAUACUGGAAGGCUUGAAUCCGGGAGAGGGAUGUGGAAUUCCAGGUGUAGCGGUGAAAUGCGUAGAUAUCGGGAAGAACACCCGUGGCGAAGGCGGCUCUCUGGGACGGUACUGACGCUGAGACGCGAAAGCGUGGGGAGCGAACAGG